AUGAACGCUGGCGGCGUGCCUAAUACAUGCAAGUCGAACGCUUUGUGGUUCAACUGAUUUGAAGAGCUUGCUCAGAUAUGACGAUGGACAUUGCAAAGAGUGGCGAACGGGUGAGUAACACGUGGGAAACCUACCUCUUAGCAGGGGAUAACAUUUGGAAACAGAUGCUAAUACCGUAUAACAAUGACAACCGCAUGGUUGUUAUUUCAAAGAUGGUUCUGCUAUCACUAAGAGAUGGUCCCGCGGUGCAUUAGCUAGUUGAUAAGGUAAUGGCUUACCAAGGCGAUGAUGCAUAGCCGAGUUGAGAGACUGAUCGGCCACAAUGGGACUGAGACACGGCCCAUACUCCUACGGGAGGCAGCAGUAGGGAAUCUUCCACAAUGGGCGAAAGCCUGAUGGAGCAACGCCGCGUGUGUGAUGAAGGGUUUCGGCUCGUAAAACACUGUUGUAAGAGAAGAAUGACAUUGAGAGUAACUGUUCAAUGUGUGACGGUAUCUUACCAGAAAGGAACGGCUAAAUACGUGCCAGCAGCCGCGGUAAUACGUAUGUUCCAAGCGUUAUCCGGAUUUAUUGGGCGUAAAGCGAGCGCAGACGGUUAUUUAAGUCUGAAGUGAAAGCCCUCAGCUCAACUGAGGAAUUGCUUUGGAAACUGGAUGACUUGAGUGCAGUAGAGGAAAGUGGAACUCCAUGUGUAGCGGUGAAAUGCGUAGAUAUAUGGAAGAACACCAGUGGCGAAGGCGGCUUUCUGGUCUGUUACUGACGCUGAGGCUCGAAAGCAUGGGUAGCGAACAGGAUUAGAUACCCUGGUAGUCCAUGCCGUAAACGAUGAAUACUAGGUGUUGGAGGGUUUCCGCCCUUCAGUGCCGCAGCUAACGCAUUAAGUAUUCCGCCUGGGGAGUACGACCGCAAGGUUGAAACUCAAAGGAAUUGACGGGGGCCCGCACAAGUGGUGGAGCAUGUGGUUUAAUUCGAUGCUACGCGAAGAACCUUACCAGCUCUUGACAUCUUCUGCCAACCCAAGAGAUUGGGCGUUCCCUUCGGGGACAGAAUGACAGGUGGUGCAUGGUUGUCGUCAGCUCGUGUCGUGAGAUGUUGGGUUAAGUCCCGCAACGAGCGCAACCCUUAUUAUUAGUUGCCAGCAUUUAGUUGGGCACUCUAGUGAGACUGCCGGUGAUAAACCGGAGGAAGGUGGGGACGACGUCAAAUCAUCAUGCCCCUUAUGAGCUGGGCUACACACGUGCUACAAUGGAUGGUACAACGAGUCGCGAAACCGCGAGGUCAAGCUAAUCUCUUAAAGCCAUUCUCAGUUCGGAUUGCAGGCUGCAACUCGCCUGCAUGAAGUUGGAAUCACUAGUAAUCGUGGAUCAGCAUGCCACGGUGAAUACGUUCCCGGGUCUUGUACACACCGCC
RNAcentral lists this ribosomal RNA (1410 nucleotides) under uncultured Bacilli bacterium. RNAcentral describes it as "bacterial SSU rRNA". It matches the Rfam family "Bacterial small subunit ribosomal RNA", at positions 29 to 1394 of the family's 1533-position model. Lineage: Bacteria; Bacillati; Bacillota; Bacilli. The record is from RNAcentral.